AAAUAUAGAUUUUUUUACUCAGGAGCUAAAAAACUAUUAUAGGGGUAGUGUCGUAUUCAUUAUUAAAUUACUAGGUUUUUCUUAAUUUUUAUUGUACUUUAAGUAAAACAUUUGAGUAUAGUGCAAGUGUAAUUGUUUUGCAUAUUAUAAAAAAGUUCACAGUGCCGAUUCUUUCACUUACCUGUAUUAUUACAUACAUCCGUCUAGACAGAAACAUUUACCUGCAUCGGAGUGUCAGUUUUCACGGAAACGUCACUGAAUUCCUUCCUUAAUGUGUGACUUGCAAUGAUGUUAGAAUUAUCUGUGCCUGGAAAAAUAGUACGUAAAUUUGUAAAUAAUUCUGAUUUCCCUAUAUACCAAAAAAUUGCAAAUAUUAAAAGGUACCUUCUAUUAUACAUAUUGCCAUUAUAAGUGCACAAAUUAGAAGAAAACAUAAAACAUACUUGUCGAUGCUCUGGUCAGAAACAAUGUAGGAAUUGCGUCGGGUCUAAGACGUUGAUUGGAAGGGGACAUAAAACUGCUCUCCGCAAAAUGCAAACUACAGAUAUUAACCCUUUUAUAACAUUGUUUCGGAGUAAGAUCGGCAUAUCUAUGUUCGCCAGUAAAUCCAAAAAUACCUUUCCAGAGUUGGCACCUAUAAUCCAUUUUUUAUAUUAAUUUAAAAAAAGAAACAAGAACCAGAUCAUAAAGUAACUAGGAAUGCAAUCAUGAAUUUAAUAAACAACUAAUUCCAAUGUACUUACCUAUUUUCAUUUUUCGGACAUCUAAAAAACAUUAAACCACUUCCACGCUUUGUAAAACAACUGUCUACCGAACAAUAAGUCGACAUUUUAAUAUAAUAGAUUAUAAUAAUUUGGCAGUCCACUGAGUCCACCCGGUACAACUAGUAAUAAAACGCUCGCACAUCAAAACGAUUUAAACUCUACUCACUGUGUAACCCAACAGAUUCGAUUGUAGGAGCGUCGCCCGGCAAAUGAAGUGAGGGGCGGUGAAUAGGUAAUUCGGCGCGUGGAGCCGAGUGAAGCAACUUGUAUUUUAUUCAGUAAACUUUGAAAAUGCUAAGAGAAUAACAGUUGUUUUUGACACUUACACAUGUAAUUCAUUAAAAUCUGCUGAGAGAUUCAGACGUGGUGAUUCAUCUAAUACAACAAAAUACAAAAUUUUUGGGUCUCGAAAAGUUCCAAUUUUUAAUGAUUUUCUCAAGUCAUCCAACAAUAAGAAGGCCUUAUUAGUUUUUACUGUAAGUUAUCUUUUGGAAUUUGCAGCAAAAUCUCUAAAUAAGAAUGAAACUUUAAUAGUAGCAGGAGGAUCUGAAAAUUCCGAAAAUGUCUAUAUUAUAACCACCUAUAAAGAGCCACAAAUUUGGGAACAAUACAAAAGUAAUCAGGAAGAAGCAGAUACUCGAAUUAUUCUUUACGUCCUGGCAGAGCGAGAGCUUAGUAAUUCUAUUCUUGUCAAAUCUGUGGAUACCGACGUAUUACUUUUACUUUUACACCAUUUCAUUAUUACAAAACAAAUAAAGGGCUGUAAAUUACUUAUGGAAUUAGGGCAUUCAAAAAAUCAACGCUUCUUAGCAAUUCAGGAUGUAGUUCAAAAAUUGGGAAAAGCAGUUUUAAGAAACAUUUUGGCAGUUCAUUGCCUCACAGGAUGCGACACAACUAGUUCGUUUUUUAAAAUUGGUAAAAAAACAGCCUUUGAUGUACUAAUAAAAAAUAUCGAUAAGCUAAAAGAACUAUAUGAUCUGCCAUUUGUAUCGGAUACAAAAGCAGUUAAACGGAGUACACAAUUUAUUUUACUUCUAUAUAGAAACAAGGACAAUGAUAUUUCUACCCUAAAUGCACUACGAUUGCAUUUAACUACAAAUGCAAAUAAAUCUGCCGUGGAACUGCCGCCAACUGACGAUGCAUUCAAACAGCAUUUAAAAAGGUGCAUAUAUCAAUUAAAAAUUUGGUAUAACAGUCACAUACCAUAUAUGAAUUUUGAGGACCCAAGAAAAUAUAGAUGGACAAAUGAUAUAGAGUCUAAUAUAUGGACUCCAAUAUUUGCGACACAGGAUCCCGUCCCAAAGGAACUACGGAAAAUUUUAGUUCUUCGAUGUUCCGAUGGAAACAGCAACACUUAAAAGUGUAUAUGUAUAUCCCAGGGCUUGAAGUGUUAUAACGAAUGUAACUGUAAAUUUUGUGGCAACAAAGACAUUAUAGACACACCAGAUUCAUUGGAAUCACAAAAUGAUGAUGACUAUUAAAAAUUAAAGUUCGUUUAAUUAAAAUAUUCAAAUAAAUAAUUUUUUUAAGUUUA
Molecule: long non-coding RNA, 2298 nt
Organism: Anthonomus grandis grandis
Lineage: Eukaryota; Metazoa; Arthropoda; Insecta; Coleoptera; Curculionidae
Exons: 2
Source: RefSeq, a predicted model, not a curated record